AGAGAGCAAGCCAGUCGGGCCUUGGAUGACAAAAAAGCCUGCAAAGAAAUUCCGCGAAAUAAGAGCCUUUAGGAAGUGAAAUCGCGCGUUUUAAAACUAGGCUUGGCUCUUAGUGAGGGUUUCAUAAACCGAGGCGUUGUGAUCUCCGAGUGGUAGGAAUACAUGUAAUUUUAAUUUGCAUUUCUAAAUUGUCUGCUACGAGCAUACUUUUUCCAUUUCACGUGUUAAAACGAGGGUCCCGGGGUCUACCCUCAGCCCCCUGGCACGCGGGGCACUUCGAGGCUCCUGCCCUCCUGGCAGCUAGGGAGCAAUUCAGGCACGUGGAUAUUAGAAUGGAGCAAUCCCAUGAGCCCCCCGCCUGUUCACCUUUUUUGAAGCCAAUUACAAAAUGUGGAAUUCCCUAGAAUCACAAAGUGAUACUUUCUUUAACAAGUAGUUACUGCUUCCUCUGUGCUUAGGUUCCAGGGACACAAAGAUUAGGAAAACUCCUAUCUGAUGGUUGGAAAUGGGCAAAAAGUGAAAAGACAGAAUGGUUCUAGGGGCACAAUUUCUCUUAUUUCCAGGAGUGGGCCAUGAGUCUCCCACACGUACUUUCUUCCUCCGAGUUGGCAGAGCUAAAUCAGCGACUAUUGAAAACUGAGGGCGUCCUGAGCGCACGCAGCUUCAGGGGGCUGGAAAACAGCCAAGAAAUUUGACAGGUCCCAGAAGGCUAAGCAGAAUAAAUGAGCGUCCAAGUCUUUAAAAUAUAUGUUGAAGUAUAAAAUUUGGUCACUGGUCAUAAGCAGGGACAGAGUCCACAAAGCAGAAAAAACAUCCCAGCAAGGAACACCAGAUAAAGGAGUAAAGAAGAUAGCUGUCCUGGGUACAGCUCUGGAUUUCUCAACUGAAGUGUUUCAUCACAGUCUUGAAAAAUCAGGAUUGUUCAGGCUUGCAGGAAGUGGAUUGUCUGAUUCUAAGUUUUACUUGAAAUUUUGGGGGAAAAAAUUGACAACAGUUUUCUAAAGGGACUCCCUCAUCUUGAUCAACCAAGUAUUCCCCCUCCUCCCAGUUUCCAGCAAGAAGAGAACAAUUUGCCUUUGUAACAACUUGGGGUUCUCCUGAAAAUCUCCACCCUAUACCUGUGUUCAACCAUUUGCAUUCAAUGAUUUUUACUUGGUUUCUGGGAGCUGGGUGUCCACACACAAUAAACUGUUAUUUGCAACAUCAUGAUCAGAUCCACUGCCUGGAAACCCGGGGACUCUGGGUUACCUUUACCUUGCUCUCAAGGGAGCAGAACCUGGGAGAGCAAAGAGAAGUUCUUAGAACCUUUUUCCAGGAAGAAGCCAGGUGAUAGGAAACCAGAGUCGCUACGGACAUCAAGCCUUGUUUGUGUCCUCCUUACGCAAAAGCUCCUUUUAUUGUCAAGGAAACAAGCUCAAGGACGUGAGGAAUAAGCCAACAGUAGGACGGAUGGCUGAUGAGCAUGGGGUUCUGUGCCAGGCACUGGCAUCCCUUCUGUCUUUCAUUCCUGCGGGGCAGGAACUGGCUCCAUUUCUCAGAGGAGGAAGGGUGAGAGGUGCUGACGUGGUUGGCACGGUACGGUUGCCCGUGUCUCGUGGCAUCUCUGCAUUAGACACGGCAUCACAUGCUACCCAUGGUGUUCAUUAUAACUGUUCGUGUGGUUUCCUCUGCCUGUCAAGACCUCUCAUAGGUGGCCAAUUGCCCUGGUGUGUCCAGGACUGAGCGGUUUCCCAGAACUCAGGACGUUUAGUGGGAUAUAUUGAUAGUCACAGCAAACCAGGAUAGUUGAUUGUCCUAUCAGAGAAGGAAGCAGGGACCAGAUCAUAUGCACUUUUGUGCCCCUGAGCCACUUGGUUACACUGAGUAAAUAUUAUCGAUCAAAUUUGCCCUUUCUGGCGGAGUACUUGGGAGGCACUCCCUAAUCAGCUGCUUAUCUGAGGCACAGAAAGGCUAACAGCGACUUGGCCAGGACCCACUGGCAAAUCCCUGAUGCUCCAGCCCCAAGCCUGUUGGCCUCCCCAGUGUCCUGCCUGCAGCUGCCCAUCCAGAACCAUCCUCUGAGAUUCCUGAGAUAGGAAUCCACCUUGUGUAACCAGUAAGGGCUUAUUUGCCUAAAAUCUGCCCAAGAAGCUGCGCUUCCCCCCACCCCCACCCUAUUUUUUAACAAGCAAAAACUCUGCCUUUCGAAACUUUCUGUGCCUUAAACAACAAGUGGGCAUUUUGCUCCAAGGAUCAUUAUAUCGGGCCUUCAGCUAAGGACAGACAUAGGAACAUUCUAGGCAGGCCACUUAACAAGGCUAGCUCUGUCACGUGGACCAAGACCCUUGACUGCUUUGGCUCUGAGUGUCCUCAAUGACCAGCUGAAAACCUUGGACUCAUUGUUCUGGGACAUAGCAGGGUGCUUCUGUGAACAUCAGUUAUCGUCAUCUAUAAAGUUGGCAUCAUACCUUUUAAGG
Mirounga angustirostris (Northern elephant seal) is the source of this 2456-nucleotide long non-coding RNA. RefSeq lists it as uncharacterized. NCBI's taxonomy places the organism in Eukaryota, Metazoa, Chordata, Mammalia, Carnivora, Phocidae. The record is from RefSeq and is a predicted model, not a curated record. The transcript has 6 exons.